RNAcentral lists this long non-coding RNA (691 nucleotides) under Parus major (Great Tit). RNAcentral describes it as "lncRNA (ENSPMJG00000006165.1)". Lineage: Eukaryota; Metazoa; Chordata; Aves; Passeriformes; Paridae. The record is from RNAcentral.
GGCAUGGUCAUCCUACACAACCAUGCGUCAGUGUGUUCUUCUGUGUGCCAAGCCCACAAAGACAAGCAGUAAAUGACACGCUUUUCACUGUUCUUGGAGCAUGACUGCACUCAGAUGCAGCAGUGUUUGCAGAAAUGUGAGCUGUUUUCUGAAAGAAAAGGCCACGUGAGAAUUCAGGCUAUUUCAUCUACCACCAGUGCUGCUUGUACUCUUAAAGGACAGCUUCAGCUGACGACAAAGUGUAACAUUUCUGUUGGCCCCCCUUCAGGAAUGCCAAGUUCAGCACAAGAUCUGAGCUUACCCAUGGACCACAGAGUAUCCCAUCAGAUGUGCCUCUGCCACAGGAGUACAGUGAUCCAAGAUUCCAAGCCUGCCUUCCCUGAUCAGCCCCCUGGAUUUUUGCAGAAAGACUGCAGAUGAUGAUGGGUUUUGAUCAAGCAUAAUCGCAUAAAAACAGACUUAUACAUUCUUCCUCACAGGCCAGGCUCCUUCUUCAGCAGUGUACAGAGGUUCUCAUCAUAUCCAGGGGGAGAAUGGACUCACAAGACUACAAGUUCAUUGUCUGCUUCCUUCUCCUUGAAAUAUUACUUUUUUAGAACCUUGGUUUUAAAUAAGCACUAUAAAUCUUACAAGUAUUACUGAGGUCUCAACUCUAAAUAAAUAAUUUAAAACAAAAGUAGUAUAAAUACCC